Carassius carassius (crucian carp) is the source of this 218-nucleotide long non-coding RNA. RefSeq lists it as uncharacterized. Lineage: Eukaryota; Metazoa; Chordata; Actinopteri; Cypriniformes; Cyprinidae. The record is from RefSeq and is a predicted model, not a curated record. The transcript has 3 exons.
CUUCUGAGGAGCACUUCUGAACCUCGAUUUUGAAAACUUCAUCUUCACACUGGUUAGACAUCCUCUGCUAAGAUGCUCCGCAACAUCUUUCUUGUCAGUUUGCUUAUAUAUGCAGUCUGUGGAGCUCAUUGGGAUAUCGGUGAGGUGGACUCUGCUGAGGACCAAGAUGAAGAGUUCUCUGCUGAUGGCAUGCCGACACAGCAGUCAUCUAGUGAGUG